Long non-coding RNA from Daktulosphaira vitifoliae (grape phylloxera), 294 nucleotides. RefSeq lists it as uncharacterized. The transcript has 2 exons. Lineage: Eukaryota; Metazoa; Arthropoda; Insecta; Hemiptera; Phylloxeridae. The record is from RefSeq and is a predicted model, not a curated record.
AUCAAGACAGUAAUUAUAGAAAAGUAUUUUCAAAUGGGGUUUAAAUUUGAUCCAAUUACCGAAGAAACAUUUGUCCCAACAUCGGAGGAGCUAAUUGAAUUAGAGUUAGAAUUUAGAGGAACAAAUGAAGAGCCUCCAACGCCAAUACAAAUAGAAACUCAUUAAAUUUUACAAAAAAAUUGAUUUUAUCUUAUAAUAAUGUAUAAAUUAUUAUUGUAAUUAUUUUAUCAAAUUUACGUAAUUUUAUAAAACUUUAAAUAAUUAUUAAACAUAAUAAUUUUAUUUUAUUUUUAA